CUCGUGAGCUACACCUGUGCCACGGACAGUCCUCGCGUAAAGGGAACCUCCGUGCUGGGCCAGGAUCUUCAGGGUCUCCAGUUGACCCUUGGCUGCUGCGCAAAGGGCAGGGCUGAAAUGUGUUAAAUGGUCCUUGAGAAUACUUACGUUCUACCCUUUCGAUCCUGUCGAUUGGGAUCAGCCCCUAGUUUCAGAAUUAGAGCCGUGGCGUCAGCGUGCCCAAGAGUGGCUGCAUAAUGCAGAGCCGAGCAACCAUUAUCGUCCACGUGGUCUGGGUGAGCACCGCAUAGGUUCACCAAAGCUUCCACGCACCUGGCGUGGAUGGAAGGAUAAAGAUGCAAAAGACGCAAAAAUACGCACCUGGCGUGGCCUCUGGAAGCGGCGCAGUGAAGAGCUGUGAGACCAUCCUUGUCCGCAGCUCCAGCGGCAGCUGAACCACCGGCUCUGUAUUUUAAUUAUUGCUCUUAGAAUCGGAAAUUCUUUCGACAGACAUUUUCAAACUUGUACUAUAUACUGUACUAUG
Hylaeus anthracinus is the source of this 523-nucleotide long non-coding RNA. RefSeq lists it as uncharacterized. NCBI's taxonomy places the organism in Eukaryota, Metazoa, Arthropoda, Insecta, Hymenoptera, Colletidae. The record is from RefSeq and is a predicted model, not a curated record. The transcript is spliced from 3 exons.